This is a non-coding RNA of Megalopta genalis, 429 nucleotides long. NCBI's taxonomy places the organism in Eukaryota, Metazoa, Arthropoda, Insecta, Hymenoptera, Halictidae. The record is from RefSeq and is a predicted model, not a curated record.
UAGAAUAAUUUACCGAAAGGAACUGCAUCCAGUGUGAUCGAUAAAACGCAUACAAAAUUGAUCUUAAAAAUAGGUCGACGCAGCAGAGUGGUGGAUAAGCGACUGUAAUUUGAUAAUUUCAUUGCGUUCGUGCAAAUCUUCAGAAAUGAGAAACACGAUGGUCUCCCGAUUAAUUUCCACGUACCAAUUCACUCGAUCUUUGAAUGAUUACACAAUCGGGAGAAAUCAAGUAUUACAACUUCGAGUGACUCUUCCGGAUCGGCUGAAUUGAUACACGCUGCAAAAUAUACACCCAGAUUUUUAUCCCGGACGGAAUCGAUGAUUGUGCGAUACAGUUUUUAAAUAGAUCUACACGGAACGGAACGGAAAAGCACGAGAGUCUUUAUGAACCGACCACUUCCACGGUACUCAGCGUCGAAGCAUAAUAGG